This 203-nucleotide long non-coding RNA is filed under the name Lathyrus oleraceus (garden pea). Its description in RNAcentral is "Pisum sativum (pea) long non-coding RNA (PSAT_LNC036529)". The record is from RNAcentral. Lineage: Eukaryota; Viridiplantae; Streptophyta; Magnoliopsida; Fabales; Fabaceae.
UAAAUAAAAGUAGUGUGAGUGCGGAAAAGUAAACAAAAGUAGUGCGAGUGCGAGAAAGUAAACAAAGUAAAGGCAGUGCGAGAAAUAAAUAAAGUAAAGUACGAGUGCGAGAAAUAAAUAAAGUAAAGUGUGAGUGCGAGAAAUAAAUAAAGUAUACAAAGGUAAAGCAAUAAAACCUGCUGCAAUCGGAGGGUCGAAUAAAG